AUGACACCGUGCCCACCGUGGCUGGGGGCUGGGGCAGAGAAGGAAGUGGCCGGCCCGGCCUGGAUAGGUCGACGACGGCGACUCGGCGGAGGGGGGCAGUUCCUGUCUGCUCGAGUUAACCCGCACUCUUUCUCUGCUCGAGUUAAGCCGGAUGGAUCGAAUUUCGUUGCAGUCUUCAUAUGCCACCGACACUUUCUUUUCACUGGCAGAGUUCAUGUUUCUGAAAUUCUUUGCCACUUGCUGCACUGGGGUGUGCUAAAGUUGACUGAAACUGGGAAACGGCUUCAACAAUAUCGGGAGCACCAUAUUUAUUACAUUUGGGGAAUUCUUCCUCCUGAUUUUCCAAUCCUUGGAUCUUCUUGUCUUCUUCUAGCACUUCAGCGCUUUCAACCACAGUAUCUUCUGUUAUAG
Molecule: ribosomal RNA, 411 nt
Filed under: Triticum aestivum (bread wheat)
Lineage: Eukaryota; Viridiplantae; Streptophyta; Magnoliopsida; Poales; Poaceae
Description: partial small subunit ribosomal RNA
Source: RNAcentral